CUUGGUCAUUUAGAGGAAGUAAAAGUCAUAACAAGGUUUCCGUAGGUGAACCUGCGGAAGGAUCAUUAAUAGUGCCCAUUGAUGCAAAUCAUUGGGUUAGAUCUGCCCUUAUCGCAAGAUGAGGGCUUCCAUAUACACCGUGAACUGUGGCUUCGGCCAUCACAAACUGUUAGUAAUGAAUGUAAUAUCAUAACAAAAACAAAACUUUUAACAACGGAUCUCUUGGCUCUCGCAUCGAUGAAGAACGCAGCGAAAUGCGAUAAGUAAUGUGAAUUGCGGAAUUCAGUGAAUCAUCGAAUCUUUGAACGCACCUUGCGCCCUUUGGUAUUCCGAAGGGCAUGCCUGUUUGAGUGUCAUGAAACCUCACCCCACUUAGGUUUUUGCCUAAGCGGUGGUGUAUUGGGUGUUUGCCUUGCUAAAGGCUCGCCUUAAAGAUAUAAGCACCUUGGAUGUAAUACGUUUCAUCCUUCUGGGUGGCUGAUAACCCCACAUAUUCAUGAUCUGGCCUCAAAUCAGGUAGGGCUACCCGCUGAACUUAAGCAUAUCAAUAAGCGGAGGAAAAGAAACUAACUAGGAUUCCCUUAGUAACGGCGAGUGAACCGGGAUGAGCUCAAAUUUAAAAUCUGGCGUCUUUCAGGCGUCCGAGUUGUAAUCUAUAGAGGCGUUUUCCGCGCCGGACCGCGUCCAAGUCUCUUGGAAUAGAGUAUCAAAGAGGGUGACAAUCCCGUACUUGACGCGACAACCGGUGCUCUGUGAUACGUUCUCAAUGAGUCGAGUUGUUUGGGAAU
This 788-nucleotide small RNA is filed under the name uncultured Cryptococcus. Its description in RNAcentral is "eukaryotic LSU rRNA". The stretch from base 503 to 788 matches the Rfam family "Eukaryotic large subunit ribosomal RNA", at positions 1 to 281 of the family's 3401-position model. Lineage: Eukaryota; Fungi; Basidiomycota; Tremellomycetes. The record is from RNAcentral.